Molecule: ribosomal RNA, 435 nt
Filed under: Polinices cumingianus
Lineage: Eukaryota; Metazoa; Mollusca; Gastropoda; Littorinimorpha; Naticidae
Description: partial 16S ribosomal RNA
Rfam family: Bacterial large subunit ribosomal RNA
Source: RNAcentral
UAUUUAACGGCCGCGGUACCCUGACCGUGCAAAGGWAGCAUAAUCAUUUGCCCUAUAAUUGAGGGCUAGUAUGAAUGGUUUGACAAGAGCAAUGCUGUCUCCAUAGAAAUUAAUAGAAAUUAUUUUUUAGGUGAAGAAUCCUAAAUAAAAUUAAAAGACAAGAAGACCCUAUCGAGCUUUAAAUUUAUUAAUAAAAUAAAGAAAAUUAAGAAUAUUUCUGAUUAUAAAAAAUUUUGGUUGGGGCGACUAAGGAACAAAAAAAGCUUCUUUAUAAAUUUAAGACUUAUGAUUAAUGAUCCACUAUUUAUAGUGAUUAAAAGAAUUAGUUACCGUAGGGAUAACAGCAUAAUCCUUUUUGAGAGUUCAUAUCGAAAAAAGGGUUUGUSACCUCGAUGUUGGACUAGAAUUUCCUGAAAGAUGCAGAASUCUUCRAAG